This 546-nucleotide long non-coding RNA is filed under the name Zea mays. RNAcentral's name for it is "long non-coding RNA (ZMAY_LNC002062)". Lineage: Eukaryota; Viridiplantae; Streptophyta; Magnoliopsida; Poales; Poaceae. The record is from RNAcentral.
GUUAGGAAUGAAAAGUGGUAGAAAAUGAUAUUGCUUAUUACAUUCACAUUGGGCGAUUGAUCCGGUAUAUAUAUGUAGAUGCAGAAAACAGAUAUAUAGUACUCGACGCAUUCACAUUGCUCGGGUGCAUAUCGGUAGGUACGUAGUAGUAUAGUAUAGUAUAUAUAUUUAUGAUGAUGCAGGAGUCGGCGGGCCGGUAGAAUUGCCGUAGCCCUAGUUUUUCACUUUUUCCAUGUGAGGAACUCUCCUGAGACAAAGUCGUAGUGGGCGCCGAUCAGCUUGAGGGUCCCAUUUGCAAGCCCUUCCUUGACGAAGGGGUAGGUCUUGAGGUUCUCCAGGGACACGUUCACGGCCUCCUGCAGAAACAAUAGAGGUCCUUUUGGUGAGCAAAAACCAAUCUAUUCAUGCAACAGUAACUGCUCGACGAAUGUACAACAUACCUUCUCGAGAAUGGAGCACUGGUCAUCGAACGGCACCGAGGCGUGCUCUUUCUUUACCUUCAUCUUGGCAAUGAAGCCGAUCUUAACCCAGUCCUCGACGAAGUGG